GAUGAACGCUGGCGGCGUGCCUAAUACAUGCAAGUCGAGCGAACAGACGAGGAGCUUGCUCCUCUGACGUUAGCGGCGGACGGGUGAGUGACACGUGGAUAACCUACCUAUAAGACUGGGAUAACUUCGGGAAACCGGAGCUAAUACCGGAUAAUAUAUUGAACCGCAUGGUUCAAUAGUGAAAGACGGUUUUGCUGUCACUUAUAGAUGGAUCCGCGCCGCAUUAGCUAGUUGGUAAGGUAACGGCUUACCAAGGCAACGAUGCGUAGCCGACCUGAGAGGGUGAUCGGCCACACUGGAACUGAGACACGGUCCAGACUCCUACGGGAGGCAGCAGUAGGGAAUCUUCCGCAAAGGGCGAAAGCUUGACGGAGCAACGCCGCGUGAGUGAUGAAGGUCUUCGGAUCGUAAAACUCUGUUAUUAGGGAAGAACAAAUGUGUAAGUAACUAUGCACGUCUUGACGGUACCUAAUCAGAAAGCCACGGCUAACUACGUG
This 497-nucleotide ribosomal RNA is filed under the name uncultured bacterium. RNAcentral describes it as "partial 16S ribosomal RNA". It matches the Rfam family "Bacterial small subunit ribosomal RNA", at positions 28 to 507 of the family's 1533-position model. The record is from RNAcentral.